UGGGGAAUUUUGGACAAUGGGCGAAAGCCUGAUCCAGCAAUGCCGCGUGUGUGAAGAAGGCCUUCGGGUUGUAAAGCACUUUUGUCCGGAAAGAAAUGGCUCUGGUUAAUACCUGGGGUCGAUGACGGUACCGGAAGAAUAAGGACCGGCUAACUACGUGCCAGCAGCCGCGGUAAUACGUAGGGUCCAAGCGUUAAUCGGAAUUACUGGGCGUAAAGCGUGCGCAGGCGGUUGUGCAAGACCGAUGUGAAAUCCCCGAGCUUAACUUGGGAAGUGCAUUGGUGACUGCACGGCUAGAGUGUGUCAGAGGGGGGUAGAAUUCCACGUGUAGCAGUGAAAUGCGUAGAGAUGUGGAGGAAUACCGAUGGCGAAGGCAGCCCCCUAGGAUAACACUGACGCUCAUGCACGAAAGCGUGGGGAGCAAACAGG
Molecule: ribosomal RNA, 429 nt
Filed under: Bacillota bacterium
Lineage: Bacteria; Bacillati; Bacillota
Description: Firmicutes bacterium partial 16S ribosomal RNA
Rfam family: Bacterial small subunit ribosomal RNA
Source: RNAcentral